This 497-nucleotide ribosomal RNA is filed under the name uncultured bacterium. Its description in RNAcentral is "partial 16S ribosomal RNA". It matches the Rfam family "Bacterial small subunit ribosomal RNA", at positions 28 to 507 of the family's 1533-position model. The record is from RNAcentral.
GAUGAACGCUGGCGGCGUGCCUAAUACAUGCAAGUCGAGCGAACAGACGAGGAGCUUACUCCUCUGACGUUAGCGGCGGACGGGUGAGUAACACGUGGAUAACCUACCUAUAAGACUGGGAUAACUUCGGGAAACCGGAGCUAAUACCGGAUAACAUGUUGAACCGCAUGGUUCAACAGUGAAAGACGGUCUUGCUGUCACUUAUAGAUGGAUCCGCGUCGCAUUAGCUAGUUGGUAAGGUAACGGCUUACCAAGGCAACGAUGCGUAGCCGACCUGAGAGGGUGAUCGGCCACACUGGAACUGAGACACGGUCCAGACUCCUACGGGAGGCAGCAGUAGGGAAGCUUCCGCAAUGGGCGAAAGCCUGACGGAGCAACGCCGCGUGAGUGAAGAAGGUCUUCGGAUCGUAAAACUCUGUUAUUAGGGAAGAACAAAUGUGUAAGUAACUAUGCACGUCUUGACGGUACCUAAUCAGAAAGCCACGGCUAACUACGUG